Chlorocebus sabaeus (green monkey) is the source of this 1552-nucleotide non-coding RNA. Lineage: Eukaryota; Metazoa; Chordata; Mammalia; Primates; Cercopithecidae. The record is from RefSeq and is a predicted model, not a curated record.
UUCUCCUGCCUCAGCCUCCUGAGUAGCUGGGAUUACAGCCGCCCACCACCACGUCCAGCUAAUUUUUGUAUUUGUAGUAGAGACUGGGUUUCAUCAUGUUGGCCAAGCUGGUCUGGAACUUCCGACCUCAAGUGAUCUGCCUGCCUCGGCCUCCCAAAGUGCUGGGACUAUAGGUGUGAGCCACUACGUCCGGCCCCAAAACCAAUUUUUUAAAAAGCAGAGAAAGAGUGUGUGUGUGUUUGGAUUCAGGGAAGUCUAUCUACAAGCAAAGGUGGAAAGAAGGACUCACAGGAUCAAUUCAAAAGGCCCAACAUCUGACUGACAGGAGUUCCAGAAUGAGCAGGAAAUGAGAAGAAAUGUUGUCAAAGAAAUGCCAGGUCUCGAGGCAGAACGUGUUCACCAAGCGCCCAGCGCUGUGAGGAAGGAAACACUCGCAGUUGGUGUGACCCCCAGAGGUGCAGGGAUCAGAGGGGACCCUACAGGCUUCUGGGGAGAAGGCUGGCGGCCCGGCCAGCUCUCACCACCGAGGACCACUACCGGCCUUCCACUCCUGUGGGAAAACGCCCUCAGCCCCGAUUCUCUCCCCAGCCCGAUGUCCAGCAGGCGUGAGGUCAGGGUAAGAUGCCUGUAGGCCUGUGAGGCCUCUCAGUGUCUCCUCCCACGUCACAGCCCACUCCAAAACUCAGCGGCACAACCACCAUGGCAGCCCGGGGCUCGGCAGUACAUGGCCAGCAACUUGGCUGCCGUAUGGGCCGGUUCCCUGGGGGUCUCGCUGGGCUUGUCCUCCCAUCUUCAGGCAGCUGGGGACCAGCUGGGCUGACAGAAGCCUCUCCUGCCCCAUGGCCUCUCAUCCUGCAGCCCAGCCCAGGCCUCCUGCAGAGAGGACAGUCCCCACAGCCAAGCAAGAGAGGUCCAGGCCCAGCGCACAAGUGUCGUGCCACCCUCUACCCACAGCAGCUUAGGAGCAUCCCGUUGGCCAAGUGCAUCCAAGGCCGGCCCAGAGCCCAGGGGUGGAGACCAGGACCCGCCUCUUGACGUAGGAGUUGAAGUUACCUUGCAGUGGACCAGGACACCGAGAGAGCAGGGAACGGGGCUGUUCCUACCACACGAGGACUUCUCCGAGCCAGCUUUCUGAGGGUUAACUGAGGGCUGAGGGGUUCAAGAAGGAAGACACAGGCACUGGGACUCAGGGGCAGUGAGGGGCAGCGGGGCCGAUGGCGUGAGGAGCAUCAGGGAGCAGGAGGGAACGGGCCUGGGGCGUGAAUCUGGCCCCACUGUUGCAUGAGUGCUCUUCAGCCGCCCAAAUCCCGUCCCACCGGUAACAGCGUGGCCUUCGGCAGAGAUACAUUAGGUGAAAAGAAAAGCUGGGCUACAGGAUGACAUCUUCAGUGGGAACGAGAGGCAGGCUACGGGAUGACCUCUUCGGUGGGAAUGAGGGGCAGGGGACGGCAGCCCACCUCCAGGAGCUUAAAGAGGAGGCUCCUGUCUGCAGGGACAGGAGACAGAGACGCUGACGCAAGAGGAUUGCUUGAGGCCAGGAGUUUGAGACCAG